CAUUGAAAGCCUUGUAAGGCCCUCAGACAUGGAAAGAAACUUGUCAGUCUUUAAAAUUCAGCAUUGCCCAGCUAUUUGACCAGAGAAACCCUUUACCCAUGAUUCUGUGCACUGUUGCUGCUUAGGAGAUGCUUUGUGUAAGCACUGCCUAGAGGUGUACUCUUUCCAAAAUUUAUUUUCCAUUUAAAUGUACAAGUAACUUAAUGUUCCUUAAUUUUUAAAAUUCUUAAUUCUGCUGAUCUGCUGAAAUGUCUGGCUAUGGACCAUGACUACACAUUCCCUUUGCCUUAAACUGAACUGUUAUAUUUUCUGUUUUUGUGGCUGAAAGU
This 329-nucleotide long non-coding RNA is filed under the name Bos taurus (domestic cattle). RNAcentral describes it as "long non-coding RNA NONBTAT010588". Lineage: Eukaryota; Metazoa; Chordata; Mammalia; Artiodactyla; Bovidae. The record is from RNAcentral.